Ailuropoda melanoleuca (giant panda) is the source of this 47-nucleotide non-coding RNA. The record is from Rfam. NCBI's taxonomy places the organism in Eukaryota, Metazoa, Chordata, Mammalia, Carnivora, Ursidae.
UAAAAGGUUUUACUUGAAACCAUUAAAUUUUAAAAUGAGUUCUAAAU